This 541-nucleotide long non-coding RNA is filed under the name Monodelphis domestica (gray short-tailed opossum). RNAcentral's name for it is "lncRNA (ENSMODG00000031430.2)". The record is from RNAcentral. Lineage: Eukaryota; Metazoa; Chordata; Mammalia; Didelphimorphia; Didelphidae.
AACUAUCCUAUACAUUAUUUUUUCAUACAUUGAAUACCUUCUUAAUUCUACAUUUUGGUGCAAUCUUGUAUCCUCUUCAUUGCUUGAGCCUGGGCUAUCAAAUGAUGGCACUCAGCAGAAAGCACAUACCAUCAAUCAUGCCGUGUAGCCCGGCAUUUUCCUGUCCUACUUGUCUCAUGCAUUUCAGCACCAUGUGCAGUCUGUGCGUCCUUUGUUUGAAUUCGACAACAGGCAGCAGCCCUCGCUUAACAACUACCUUCUCUCACAUGCCAAGCACCGACUGGACCAAAGCCAGAUAUCUUUUAAUUUGUUUGCCUCUGGGUCCAUGCCAACUGACCCUCACUGGCAGACCCCUGUCACGAAGGCUGAGCAGUCAGAAAAAGUCGGCCCCUGACGUAUUUUGAAGACAUCCAAAAUACAAUACCAGCUGUUGGUUCCACAAAGGCAUUCCAAGAUUCCUAAUGUUUUGCUUUAUAGUUUAAGUCUUUCUUUGUGCUUUGGUACAAAUAAAGCCUUUACACUCAAGCUCGCUUUCUGUUUC